AAUGAUCUCUCUGACUCUGACCAUUACCAUGGGGUGUGGGAUGUGUGUGUGUGUGUGGGGGGGGGGGGGGGGAGCGGGAAGGGCUCUUAUCACUUGAUAAUGUUGUUUGUAAUACCAUUAAAUAGUUACCAUGGUCAAAAAGCAUUAAACCAUCAUUGAAUUUAACACUAGUGUGUUCCACGGUCAAACUCAAUUUGUAUUACGCCUUCCCACAAUUGACGGAUGGUUAAACAGUUAUAUUAUUUUCAGAAACUCGUCUUCAAGAGUUAAGGGGUACCCUUGCCUCUGAAGCUCCAGUGGCAAAAGCAGACAUAACCUGGACACAACGGCAGGUGCUCGCUGGAGUUAGGGCAAAAUUAGCAAGGCCAUUACUCCUAGAUGCCAAACUCUCGGCACAGAGAGCAUUACAGGAAACAUGCCAGAAAUGCCACGAAGAGGAGGCAGUUAUUCGGUGCCUUGAGUGUGUCCCACUGGACUUUGAGUACCUCUGUGGCAAGUGUGACAUAGAGGUCCACAGGAGGCAUGUCUUCCAUGGCAGGGUGGCAAUAUUCCAUGGCUAUCUGGAGCCUAUUCCCCCUACAAAGGCAGUGGUGGUGGAUGGGAAUGGCCAGCUUCAUUUUUCCGAGCAGGUAUGUCAGUUGCCAAUGCCUGCCCAAAGGGUAAUAUGUGGUUGCACUGAAGAGGCUGAGGUUACCACUGGGAGGCAUAUUGCAGUGGUCACUAUAAAUGGACGAUACGAGAUGUGUUUACCCCGAAAGGUCUGCUCUUGCUGCACAACAGAAUGGACUCCAGGGGUAAAGGACCUUCUACAGUAUAAUUACUGGCCAAGCACUACCAACUGCCAGACUUUAUAUUCGUUUGAUGUUUUUGAGGCAUUUUCAAACAUAAAGUUGGCAGCUCCCUCCCUGUCGAGGCAUGCUUUUUUAAAGCUUCUGGAGCACCAGUCUGUUCGAGGAGGAAGGGUAAGUCUGCCUGAAUCGCAUUGUAACACACAAUUAUAA
This is a long non-coding RNA of Gadus morhua (Atlantic cod), 1001 nucleotides long. Lineage: Eukaryota; Metazoa; Chordata; Actinopteri; Gadiformes; Gadidae. The record is from Ensembl.